UUUUUUUUAGCAGAUUGGAGCAAGAGACACUCUUUUACAAGAGACAUGCUUCUACUUUGCUUAAAAAAAGCAAACUAUCCUGUGUGACUGUCUGGGAGGAGGGCUACAUGGAAGGAAACCCAGGACCCGAGGAUAGCUUCCAGUCAACAGCCAGUAAGAAGUCAGCACCCUCAGUCACAGAGCUGCAAAUGACUUCUGCCAACAACCUGAAUGAGCUUGAAAAUGAAUGCUCCCUAGUUGAGCCUUCACUUAGGACACAGCCUGACUGACAUGUUGAUUUCAGCCUUGACAUGAGGGGCCAGUUUACCUCUCUAGUCGGAUCUGCGGAGAUGCCCUUGAGGAUGUGCCUGUGUGGCAGGGAAGGCUGGAGAGAUGAGGAGAUGCACACACAGGGCUCUGUGGGGGCCUGAAACCAGAGAGAGCUGCGCUGAGAUGCUCAGCAUCCCUGGAGAUGAGGCUGUGCCCUAAAUAUACCCUUAGGAGAAUUACAGAGGGAACCAGUAUGUGCAAGUUUGCACCUUCCCUCCAGAGUGAAGGCUGGAAACUGGAGACCACAAGCCAGACUUGGUUGUAGAGGGAGACAUCUUGGUUAGCACGGUGCCGUGAGCAACUUGAAUGUCACUCCAGUCUGUCGUCAGCCCAUGUUUGUCAGAGUCUGGCUCAGUGGGCCCCACUCAGGCCCACUCACAGCCUGGAUCCUAGAGCCUGUGACCUUGCUUGGGAACCAGGAACACAGGCUGCUGAGGGCCAGAUGCCAUCCCCCGAGGCACCCUGGGAACAGAUGAUGCAAAGGAACCCAAGUCCUGAAGGCGCCACCUGGGGACAGAAGAUGGGAGACGGUUCUCCCCCACCAUACACACCCUGGUGCUGUGUAACCCGGGAUUAGGACAUUCAGCAAGGACAGCUUGUGUUCUCCACCAGCCAGGAAGAUCUGGAGCCAGGAGCCAGCAAGUAAUUAACCACUUCAAUCAAGUAACUUUUCUUUGCCCACUUGAGUUGGUGAGAGAAAAAAAUUAGAAGGCAAAAUUAAUAAUUUAUCAAGUUAUCUUAUUCCUCAUGCCGAAUGUCACCCAUCCAUUCAAAUGUCUAUCUUUUGUGGUCAUCUUCACCAUUAUUCACAGUCUUUGCUUUUAAUGAAUGAACUCAUUGAUCCAUCUGUUCUUUCAUCCAUUCAUUAAAACCAAGCACUUACUACCUGCCUGUGAUGAGGACUUGGGAUAAAAACAAGCAAACCACCAAAAAAUAAAAAUAAAAAAUGAGAAAGCACCCCAGCCUUGGUUGAAUCCACAGCCAGGGGGAGGAGAAAGUAUGAUCCUCAGAAACAGACUCAUCUCAUCCAUAGGUAGACACAUCCUAAAUCAUGACCAUUCUGCUUCUUCAUUUAGAAGUUACUUAUUUAUUAGCAUCUCAAUGUGAUGGGAGCGAACUGGGCUUCCCUGGUGACUCAGACAGUAACGAAUCCGCCUGCAGUGUAGGAGACCCAGGUUUGAUCCCUCGUCAGGAAGAUCCCCUGGAGAAGGGAAUGGCAACCCACUCCAGUAUUCUUGCCUGGAGAAGUCUGUAGACAGAGGAGCCUAAUGGACUACAGUCCAUGAUGUCUCAAAGAGUUGGACACAACCGAGCGACUAACACUUUCAGUUUCAGUGUGAUGGGGGUGAAUCAGCACAAUGGUCACUAUCUCUGACCCCCAGCUUCCCAUCAGAAGGACGUUGGGUAGGAAGGAUUAAAUCAGACCUGGUUCCUUUCUGCCUGAGCAACAGAGAGAGCCACAGUUAAUGGCUGGUUGCAUGUGUGUGUGUCUGUGAGAGUAUGUGUGUUAUGUAUGGUAAGUGUGUAAGAGUGAGUAUGUUAUGGGUAAUUGUAUCCAUUAUGCACAAAGUGUGUAAGAACAUGCACGUGUCAUGUGUAUAGAGGUGUUUAUGGAUUGGGUUGGCCAAAAAGUUCAUUCAGAUUUUUCCAUCAGCUGUUACAGAAAACCCAAACUUUUUGGGCCACCCUAAUAUUUUGUGCACAUACGUGUAUCAGGUGUGUGUGUGUGUGUGUGUGUGUGUGUAAGGUAUUAAUAUGAUGCCAAACCCGGGGAC
This is a long non-coding RNA of Bos taurus (domestic cattle), 2084 nucleotides long. The record is from Ensembl. NCBI's taxonomy places the organism in Eukaryota, Metazoa, Chordata, Mammalia, Artiodactyla, Bovidae.